CAGAGUACCGGUGCCCUCGGGCGCCUACUCCCACCCUUUGUGUACCUCACCUCUGUUGCUUCGGCGGGCCAGGCGCCCUCCCAGGCGCCGCCGGCCGUCCGGGCUGGAGAGCGCCCGCCGGAGUCCAUCUCAAACUCGCUCAACCCGAACUCCGAGCAAGGAAACGAAUGAAUCA
Molecule: unclassified non-coding RNA, 175 nt
Filed under: uncultured Mycosphaerellaceae
Lineage: Eukaryota; Fungi; Ascomycota; Dothideomycetes; Mycosphaerellales; Mycosphaerellaceae
Description: sequence contains ITS1
Source: RNAcentral